Molecule: long non-coding RNA, 823 nt
Organism: Oncorhynchus tshawytscha (Chinook salmon)
Lineage: Eukaryota; Metazoa; Chordata; Actinopteri; Salmoniformes; Salmonidae
Source: Ensembl
GUGGAGUGCUGCAGAGAUGGUUGUCCUUCUGGAAGGUUCUCCCAUCUGCACAGAGGAGCUCUGUCGGAGUGACCAUCGGGUUCUUCCUCCCUGAGUUGUAGCUUCUUGAUAAUGAGACUUUCCUGGACGUUGCCCAGACAGGAUGUCAGACAGACUGGUGUCCAAUCACUUUUCUCUCCAGGACUGGGGAAGAUGUUAAGAGGUCUUCCACGCUGAAGGUUAUUGUCCUGUUGAAAGGUGAAAUAAUCUCCCAGUGUCUGGUGGAAAGCAGACUGAACCAGGUUUUCCUCUAGGAUUUUGCCUUUUGCACGGAACUCCAUUCCGUUUAUUUUUUAUCCUGAAAAACUCCCCAGUCCUUAACAAUUACAAGCAUACCCAUAACAUGAUGCAGCCACAACUAAUGUUGGAUAUGUGGAGAAUGGUACUCAGUAAUGUGUUGUAUUGUAUUUGCCCCAAACAUAACACUUUGUAUUCAGGACAAAAAGUGAAUUGCUUUGCCACAUUUUUUGUAGUGUUACUUUAGUUCCUUGUUUCAAACAGAACGCAUGUUUAGGAAUAUUUUUUAUUCUCUACGGGCUUCCUUCUUUUCACUCUGUCAAUUAGGUUAGUAUUAUGGAGUAACUACAAUGUUGUUGAUCCAUCCCCAGCUGUCUCCUAUCACAGCCAUUAAACUCUGUAACUGUUUUAAAGUCACCAUUGGCCUUAUGGUGAAAUCCCUGAGCGGUUUCCUUCCUCUCCGGCAACUGAGUUAGGAAGGAUUCCUGUAUCUUUGUUGUGACUGGGUGUAUUGAUACACCAUCCAAAGUGUAAUUAAAAACUUCAC